UACGGAGGAUGCGAGCGUUAUCCGGAUUUAUUGGGUUUAAAGGGUGCGCAGGCGGCCUGUUAAGUCAGCGGUAAAAGCCCGGGGCUCAACCCCGGCGAGCCGUUGAAACUGGCAGUCUCGAGUUGGAGAGAAGUAUGCGGAAUGCGCGGUGUAGCGGUGAAAUGCAUAGAUAUCGCGCAGAACUCCGAUUGCGAAGGCAGCAUGCCGGCUCCACACUGACGCUGAGGCUCGAAAGCGUGGGGAGCAAACAGG
Molecule: ribosomal RNA, 252 nt
Filed under: uncultured Bacteroidales bacterium
Lineage: Bacteria; Pseudomonadati; Bacteroidota; Bacteroidia; Bacteroidales
Description: partial 16S ribosomal RNA
Rfam family: Bacterial small subunit ribosomal RNA
Source: RNAcentral